This 811-nucleotide long non-coding RNA is filed under the name Gouania willdenowi (blunt-snouted clingfish). RNAcentral describes it as "lncRNA (ENSGWIG00000004738.1)". The record is from RNAcentral. Lineage: Eukaryota; Metazoa; Chordata; Actinopteri; Blenniiformes; Gobiesocidae.
CCUGCCUUAAGAGGUGUAAAAACUAUUUAUAUUUCAAACACAAUCUUCAGGAUACAGUGCAACAAUGAACGUAUUUGGAUGAUUUUCCUCAAACUGAAUUGUGUUUGUCACCCUUUUUCAAAAAUGUUUACCUGUAUGGAGCACGCAGAGUUGAAAUUAGCGUAACAUAAAGGUUAGAUUCCUGAGUGAUGUCUGUGUUUCCAGGAGCAUGAAAGUGAGGGCCUGAAGUAGCAGCGGAUGUGAGGAAGGACAGUAAAAAGCUCAGAGCUUGAUAUAAAGGCUGAAAGGGACAAGCUGACACUCACAACCGUGGAGCUCUCCUCACCUCAAAGCACACUUCUCCUAAGCAACCGACUCAGACGUUCGCGACACAAUGAGCAUGCGCGGAGCAGUAAGUGGCUGUGUGGUGCUGAUGUGCCUGGUGGCGCUGCUGGUGGAGAAGACGGAUGGACACAUCACGUUCUUCAGCCCAAAGGAGAUGAUGGAGAUGAAGGAGCGAGAAGGAAAAAAAGACAUGGAGCCUCGAUCAGAGGAUGGCCACUUUGAAGAAGUCACUGUUCAGGAGCUGCCUGAGGCCGAGCAUGGUAGAAAUAAUGAGAAAACAGUGGAGAUUGCCAUUCGUUUGACUCCCACACAGCUUGAUCAUGUGACCCCUGUGCUUGAGGAGAUCAUUCACGAAAUAGUAGAGGGGCAUCAAAAAGCCAAAUAACAACUUUGAUGACACUGGAUGAGAAAUGCUGUAUAAAUCUUAAUUGCUCCAAAGUUUUAUUGAUUUGAAAUAAUCUCUGAAUAAAGGGAAGUGAUUGCGCCA